RNAcentral lists this ribosomal RNA (318 nucleotides) under Triticum aestivum (bread wheat). RNAcentral describes it as "partial small subunit ribosomal RNA". Lineage: Eukaryota; Viridiplantae; Streptophyta; Magnoliopsida; Poales; Poaceae. The record is from RNAcentral.
AUGCACGUGACAUAUGGCCGGUGCCUGUCUGAGUGCAGCCCUUGGCGUUUGCACACGGAGGAGUCAGUCAGGAAUCAGGCAAAACCUACACUGUUGAGGACUCAGCAACCGGCCAAGGUGUGUGGGGGGAAGGAAGGAAGAUGGCGCCUCUCUGGCUGUCCACAGGAGGAAGGAAGCAAGGAAGCAAUCAUUCUGCACGACCGGUUAGCCAUGGAUGGGAAAUCUCUCUCCAGCUUUUCCCCUCCGCCCGAGCAACAGAAAGGCGAGGCCUUUUCCCCCAAUGGCCACCGGGGGGAAGAUUCUCUCUGCCUGCAUUAG